CACACACACACACACGAACACGUUCGACGCGGGGACGCGGACGCCCGGCCCGAGCGCACGCGCGAAUCGCCGUGGACCUCGCCGGGGGCGGCGACGAGCUAGGAUCUCGGCGAUCUAGUCGCCGGAGGCGGCCCCCAUGGCUCGCCGGUCGUCGUCCUCGUCGUCGGGGGCGUGGCGGUACCUCAACCCCGCGUACUACCUCAAGCGGCCCAAGCGCCUCGCGCUCCUCUUCUUCGUCUUCGUCGCGGCCACCUUCGCCUUCUGGGACCGCCAGUCGCUCGUCCGCGAGUACGAGUCUGAGAUUUCCAGAUUAGAAGAUGAUAUUAAUCGGUUGCAUGACCAGCUAAGAAAGGCUGGAGUCCAUGUGGAUGAAAAUCCAAGUAACGCCAGAAAAGAUCUUGUAGAAAUCGAUCCUGUGAAUAAUGAAAGGAGGGAAAAAGUUAAGGAGGCAAUGCUCCAUGCUUGGAAUUCCUAUGUAAAGUAUGCCUGGGGAAUGGAUGAGCUUCAGCCACAAUCAAAGAAUGGCAUCAAUAGCUUUGGUGGCCUUGGAGCAACCCUUGUGGACUCACUUGAUACACUGUAUAUCAUGGGCCUGAAAGAUGAAUUUCAGAAAGCUAGAGACUGGGUGGCCGAGUCAUUAGACUUUGACAAGGAUUAUGAUGCAAGUGUUUUUGAAACGACCAUAAGGUUGCAUUAUAAGGGUCGUUGGAGGUCUACUUAGUGCGUACGAUCUGUCUGGUGAUAAAGUAUUUCUUGAGAAGGCUAAAGAUAUUACUGAUCGACUAUUACCUGCUUGGGAGACAACAUCUGGCAUCCCCUAUAAUAGAAUAAACCUAGCUCAUGGACGAGCCCAUAAUCCUGGAUGGACCAACGGUGAUAGUAUCCUUGCAGAUUCUGGUACGGAGCAACUUGAAUUUAUAGCUCUGUCCCAGAGGACUGGGGAUCCCAAGUAUCAGCAGAAGGCAGAGAAUGUCAUCACACAGCUUCAGAAAAUAUAUCCGAGUGAUGGUUUACUUCCUAUUUACAUAAAUCCUCAUUCUGGAACUGCAUCAUACUCAACUAUCACAUUUGGUGCUAUGGGAGAUAGCUUCUAUGAAUACUUGCUCAAGGUCUGGAUCCAGGGAAAUAAAACUGAGCAUGUAAAACACUACAGACAAAUGUGGGAGACAUCGAUGGAAGGUCUAAUAAGUUUAACCAAGAAAACUACCCCAUCUAAUUACCAUUAUAUUUGUGAAAAGAAUGGUGGCUCAUUGUCUGACAAGAUGGAUGAACUUGCUUGCUUUGCUCCUGGUAUGCUGGCAUUAGGAGCCUCUGGUUAUGGCCCAGAAAAAUCUGAGCAAAUUAUGAAUCUUGCAAAAGAGCUUGCUAGGACCUGCUAUAAUUUCUACCAAACCACUCCCACGAAGUUGGCUGGCGAGAACUAUUUUUUCCAUGCUGGACAGGAUAUGAGUGUGGGCACAUCUUGGAACAUUCUGAGACCGGAGACUGUCGAAUCGCUUAUGUACCUAUGGCGUUUGACGGGGAAUAAAACAUACCAAGAUUGGGGGUGGGAUAUAUUCCAGGCAUUUGAGAAGAACUCCCGCAUAGAAUCUGGAUAUGUGGGACUGAGAGAUGUGAACACUGGUGAAAAAGACAACAUGAUGCAGAGCUUCUUCCUGGCAGAGACACUCAAGUACCUCUACCUGCUUUUCUCCCCUCCAUCAGUCAUCUCCUUUGACGAGUGGGUUUUCAACACUGAAGCUCACCCGUUGAGAAUUGUUCCGAUACAUGAUAACAAGGGCAUCGGAACACCUGCCCGACCGUUUGGACCACUUGGAAGAAAACAGGGCAAACCUGAGUAAGCUUGGAUAUAGAGCAGUGGAUUUUUUAAUCCGCCGUCUGAUUUUUGACCUGCAUGUUGAUGUUCUGACACGAGGGGACAUUCUGCCUGAAGGAUCAAGGGUUAGGAAUCACGGCGAUAGGCUGUUUAGAGUUAAAAUCAUUGGUAGAGCAUGAUGCUAUAUGCGGGGCAGUGACCUCUGCGGUAUGAUCGGAGGUCAAUAGCCCCAUAGAAGUUUUUAUAUCUUUGGACUUGCUUACGCGCCCUGAGCUGCGUUGUUUAUGUGUAGCAUAAACGUCUAAUUCACUGUCCAUAUGUUGUUGCUUGCCUGGGGCGGCUGUGGAGCUGUAUUUUCCAUUAUUUUCCCUGAGUUGUUACCUUUUUUCAGAUAUGAUUUAUAAAAUGAUGUCUGUAAUUUUUCCUUUAAACCUCAUUUUCUGCUA
Panicum virgatum (switchgrass) is the source of this 2262-nucleotide RNA transcript. It is a transcript of the gene named mannosyl-oligosaccharide 1,2-alpha-mannosidase MNS1-like, with no coding region annotated. Lineage: Eukaryota; Viridiplantae; Streptophyta; Magnoliopsida; Poales; Poaceae. The transcript is spliced from 14 exons. The record is from RefSeq and is a predicted model, not a curated record.